GACGAACGCUGGCGGCGUGCCUAAUACAUGCAAGUAGAACGCAGUUGCGAACGGGUGAGUAAAGCGUAGGUACCUGCCUCAUAGCGGGGGAUAACUUUUGGAAACGAUAGCUAAUACCGCAUACUGUGAGAUGGACCUGCGUUGUCGUAGUUAGUUGGUGAGGUAAAGGCUCACCAAGGCGACGAUACAUAGCCGACCUGAGAGGGGUAGUGGCAAAACUGGGACUGAGAAACGUACAAGACUCUUAAGGGACGAAGCAGUAGGGAAUAUUGGGCAAUUGACGGAAGUCUGACCGAGCAACGCCGAGUGAGGGAAGAAGUUUUGUGGAUCGUAAAGCUCUGUUGGUAGAGAAGCGGUAACUAACCAGAAAGGGACGGCUAACCACGUGCCAGCAGCCGCGGUAAUAC
This 407-nucleotide ribosomal RNA is filed under the name uncultured bacterium. RNAcentral's name for it is "partial 16S ribosomal RNA". It matches the Rfam family "Bacterial small subunit ribosomal RNA", at positions 28 to 526 of the family's 1533-position model. The record is from RNAcentral.